GAACCUUACCAGGUCUUGACAUCCUUUGACCACUCUAGAGAUAGAGCUUUCCCUUCGGGGACAAAGUGACAGGUGGUGCAUGGUUGUCGUCAGCUCGUGUCGUGAGAUGUUGGGUUAAGUCCCGCAACGAGCGCAACCCUUAUUGUUAGUUGCCAUCAUUUAGUUGGGCACUCUAGCGAGACUGCCGGUGACAAACCGGAGGAAGGUGGGGAUGACGUCAAAUCAUCAUGCCCCUUAUGACCUGGGCUACACACGUGCUACAAUGGGAAGUACAACGAGUCGCUAGACCGCGAGGUCAUGCAAAUCUCUUAAAGCUUCUCUCAGUUCGGAUUGCAGGCUGCAACUCGCCUGCAUGAAGCCGGAAUCGCUAGUAAUCGCGGAUCAGCACGCCGCGGUGAAUACGUUCCCGGGCCUUGUACACACCGCCCGUCACACCACGAGAGUUUGUAACACCCGAAGUCGGUGAGGUAACCUUUUUGGAGCCAGCCGCCUAAGGUGGGAUAGAUGAUUGGGGUGAAGUCGUAACAAGGUAGCCGUAUCGGAAGGUGCGGCUGGAUCACCUCCUUUCUAAGGAA
This 575-nucleotide ribosomal RNA is filed under the name Shigella flexneri. RNAcentral's name for it is "bacterial SSU rRNA". It matches the Rfam family "Bacterial small subunit ribosomal RNA", at positions 966 to 1533 of the family's 1533-position model. Lineage: Bacteria; Pseudomonadati; Pseudomonadota; Gammaproteobacteria; Enterobacterales; Enterobacteriaceae. The record is from RNAcentral.